CUUAAUUACUAGUAGGAAAAGUUGCAGUAGAACACUGGUUAAAUAUUGGACAUUAAGCUGCAGUAAAAAGCUUUUUCUAUUUGGAUUUUUAUUUCUUUUCACUUUCUUAACCAAAAACUGUUUACUAUUAGUAGUAGAAAUCGGCAAAUGCUUGGUAUCCAAUACCUAAAAUCAACUCUUGUUUACAUAUAUAUUUAUUCUUUUUGUCUCUCUCUACAACAAAAAUAUAUUACAAAAGUAGUCAUAGUACUCCGUUCUCAUUAGCUUAGUUAACUCUUAUGAUACGACUCAUACGAGUAUUAAAUGAUUCCAAGUUCAAAUCCGAUACCAUUUGAUUAAUAUCUAGUGACUAAUUUGGUUUUAGUAGUUUUAUUUGUUUAUGUCAUUAUGUGUUUGGCUAGGGAGCUUUCUAUUUAAGGGAAUAAUAGAUCAUAGAACAAUACUAACUAUAACAAUUUAUAGUAGAUGUCACUUAACUUAGUUGAUUAUAGUUUUUCAUAUGUUACCCAAAAUCUAAAAUCAAACCUCGUAACCAUAGUGCCUCAUUUGUUAACUCUUAUGAUGGAAAUUAAGUCCAACUUCGAAUCCUUAUUGGUUCGUUGGACCUACUGUAAGACUAUCUCUGAAUCGUUCUAAUUUUAUCAGAUGUCUCCGAAGAGACACUAUAUAUAGGACUAAUCUAGUUUAGGAGUAGUUUUCUCUGAAUCGUUCUGAUUUUAUCAGAUGUCUCCGAAGAAACACUAUAGGACUAAUCUAGUUUCAGAGUAGUUUUGUUUCUUCUUCAUAUAUCUAGCUAGCAGCUUUCCAUUUGAAGUGGGAAAAAUCACAAAAGAAUACAACUCCUUAUGUGUCACAGUAACAACCAAUCAAUUUUAUAAACAUGAACUAUAUGUCUAUAUACGUCAAAUUGCCCAUAACUUCCACUAUUUUACAAAAGACACUCCCAAUUUGUCCACUAAAAACUCUUAGAAGCACAGCAACAUUAUUUCAAUUGGCCCCCAAAUAAUUUAUUUUGAACCAACCCAUCAAUUUUAACCAUUUUUAGCUCAAAAAUCAAAUCAUGGUUGCAGCAACAUCUUCUUUUGCUGUAGGGAAGUGCAUUACUCGGUUUCUUGACUUAGAACCACAAAGACACCACUAUCAAUCAUGUUCAUUAUCAAUUAUGUCUAUGAAUGGGUGCCAAGGUGACCCCAAAAUUCCACUAGGUAUCGUCGGAACUCGAACUCUACCUUCGGUUCCAUCACCGGCUCUAGCCUUGGACCGCCUUAAACAUACCAUUUCCGACUUAAGGUCUAACCAACCAUACUCUAAUUUCCCCUCCGGUCUCAUCCGAAUCCAGGUACCAAUAGAGCAAGAGAUAGAAGCCAUAGAUUGGCUUCAUUCACAAGACCACCACCACCAACUCCCUCGCCUUUUCUUCUCCGGUAGACGUCAAUUCAACGGUUCUGAUUUCAUCGACGCCAACGACAAUGGUGAAAUCUACGGCCAUGAUCUCAUCAGCGUCGCAGGUCUAGGUGCUGCCGUUUAUUUUCAGCAUUUUCGCCCUUUCUCAUUUGGUGACUGGAGUUCAAUUAAGAGGUUCUUGUCAAAGAGUUGUCCUUUGAUUCGUGCAUACGGGGCGAUCCGAUUUGAUGCAAAAGUUGAUAUAUCGAAGGAAUGGGAGCCUUUUGGCUCCUUCUACUUCAUGGUUCCUCAGGUUGAGUUCAAUGAAUUCGAAGGAAGGUCCUUGUUGGCUGCCAAUGUUGCAUGGGAUAAUGGCCUUUCAUGCCCUUGGGAAUCAGCAAUUGAUUCCCUUCAAGCAACCUUGGAUCAGGUCAAAUUUUUCAUCUUCAAGUCAGAGAAAAAAUUUCCUAAAACUACAAUUAGGGCCGAUAUAUUGCACAUCCCUGAUGAGGAAAAUUGGGAGAUUGCUGUUACAAAAGCAUUGAAGAUGAUCAGAAGCAGCUCAGCACUCACAAAGGCUGUACUUGCACGUAGUAGCAGAAUCUUUACUACAUCCGAUAUUGACCCGCUAGCAUGGUUAGCUUGUUUACAGGCUGAGGGGGAUAAUGCUUACCAGUUCUUGCUUCAGCCACCCAAUGCACCAGCUUUCAUUGGAAACACUCCAGAGCAGCUAUUUCACCGAAAGAAGCUUAACAUUUGGAGUGAAGCUUUGGCUGGAACCCGAGCCAUAUGUGGAUCAGAGAUUUUGGAUCAUAAGACAGCAUUGGAUCUUCUCUCCAGCCCAAAAGACAACUUAGAGUUUACAAUUGUAAGGCAGUGUAUAAAGAAGAAACUUGAGUCUGUGUGUAACUCAGUAUUAGUGGAUCCCCAGAAGGCAAUACGAAAGCUUCCCAGCGUACAACAUCUGUAUGCUAAUUUAAAAGGAAGAUUAAGAAGUGAAGAUGAUGAGCAUUUUGGAAGAAUACUACCCUGGUUGUAGUAGAGGUGCAGUUAUAUUUGUAAGGCUGGAAGAAAGUUAAUUUCAUUGGUAGUAUCAUUUUGGAAGAAUGAUUACAAGUUCCUAUAACUGCAUUUUGGAAGAAAGUUUCAGUCUGUACAAAGUUUGAGAUUUUAUCUUCUCUUCACCCAAGUCCAGCUGUGUGUGGAUUUCCAGCUGAAGAUGCACGUUGCCUUAUUGCAGAAACUGAAAUGUUUGACCGAGGAAUGUAUGCUGGCCCUAUUGGUUGGUUUGGAGGUGAAGAAGCUGAAUUUGCAGUUGGGAUAAGGUCUGCUUUAGUAAAGAAGGGUCUUGGUGCUUUCUUUUAUGCUGGAACUGGAAUUGUUGAGGGAAGUGA
This is an RNA transcript of Chenopodium quinoa (quinoa), 2777 nucleotides long. It is a transcript of the gene named isochorismate synthase, chloroplastic-like, with no coding region annotated. The transcript has 14 exons. The record is from RefSeq and is a predicted model, not a curated record. NCBI's taxonomy places the organism in Eukaryota, Viridiplantae, Streptophyta, Magnoliopsida, Caryophyllales, Amaranthaceae.